Molecule: ribosomal RNA, 1382 nt
Filed under: Rathayibacter agropyri
Lineage: Bacteria; Bacillati; Actinomycetota; Actinomycetes; Micrococcales; Microbacteriaceae
Description: bacterial SSU rRNA
Rfam family: Bacterial small subunit ribosomal RNA
Source: RNAcentral
UGCAAGUCGAACGAUGAAGCCUAGCUUGCUGGGUGGAUUAGUGGCGAACGGGUGAGUAACACGUGAGUAACCUGCCCUUGACUCUGGGAUAAGCGCUGGAAACGGCGUCUAAUACCGGAUAUGACCUGCCCCGGCAUCGGGUGUGGGUGGAAAGUUUUUCGGUCAAGGAUGGACUCGCGGCCUAUCAGCUUGUUGGUGAGGUAAUGGCUCACCAAGGCGACGACGGGUAGCCGGCCUGAGAGGGUGACCGGCCACACUGGGACUGAGACACGGCCCAGACUCCUACGGGAGGCAGCAGUGGGGAAUAUUGCACAAUGGGCGAAAGCCUGAUGCAGCAACGCCGCGUGGGGGAUGACGGCCUUCGGGUUGUAAACCUCUUUUAGUAGGGAAGAAGGGCUUCGGCUUGACGGUACCUGCAGAAAAAGCACCGGCUAACUACGUGCCAGCAGCCGCGGUAAUACGUAGGGUGCAAGCGUUGUCCGGAAUUAUUGGGCGUAAAGAGCUCGUAGGCGGUUUGUCGCGUCUGCUGUGAAAACCCGAGGCUCAACCUCGGGCCUGCAGUGGGUACGGGCAGACUAGAGUGCGGUAGGGGAGAAUGGAAUUCCUGGUGUAGCGGUGGAAUGCGCAGAUAUCAGGAGGAACACCGAUGGCGAAGGCAGUUCUCUGGGCCGUUACUGACGCUGAGGAGCGAAAGCGUGGGGAGCGAACAGGAUUAGAUACCCUGGUAGUCCACGCCGUAAACGUUGGGAACUAGAUGUGGGGGCCUUUCCACGGUCUCCGUGUCGCAGCUAACGCAUUAAGUUCCCCGCCUGGGGAGUACGGCCGCAAGGCUAAAACUCAAAGGAAUUGACGGGGGCCCGCACAAGCGGCGGAGCAUGCGGAUUAAUUCGAUGCAACGCGAAGAACCUUACCAAGGCUUGACAUAUACCGGAAACUUCCAGAGAUGGUUGCCCCGCAAGGUCGGUAUACAGGUGGUGCAUGGUUGUCGUCAGCUCGUGUCGUGAGAUGUUGGGUUAAGUCCCGCAACGAGCGCAACCCUCGUUCUAUGUUGCCAGCACGUGAUGGUGGGAACUCAUAGGAGACUGCCGGGGUCAACUCGGAGGAAGGUGGGGAUGACGUCAAAUCAUCAUGCCCCUUAUGUCUUGGGCUUCACGCAUGCUACAAUGGCCGGUACAAAGGGCUGCGAUACCGUAAGGUGGAGCGAAUCCCAAAAAGCCGGUCUCAGUUCGGAUUGAGGUCUGCAACUCGACCUCAUGAAGUCGGAGUCGCUAGUAAUCGCAGAUCAGCAACGCUGCGGUGAAUACGUUCCCGGGCCUUGUACACACCGCCCGUCAAGUCAUGAAAGUCGGUAACACCCGAAGCCAGUGGCCUAACCGUAAGGA